GCGAAAACUUUACAAUGCUGGCAACAGCGAUAAGGGAACCUCGAGUGCCAGGUUACAAAUCUGGCUGUCGAGAUGCCUAAAAAGCAUUUCAUAGCAAGGGCCGGGCAAGACCGGUGCCAGCCGCCGCGGUAACACCGGCGGCUCGAGUGGUAACCGUUAUUAUUGGGUCUAAAGGGUCUGUAGCCGGCCGGAUAAGUCUCUUGAGAAAUCUGGCAGCUUAACUGUCAGGCUUUCAGGAGAUACUGUCUGGCUCGAGGCCGGGAGAGGUGAGAGGUACUUCAGGGGUAGGGGUGAAAUCUUGUAAUCCUUGAAGGACCGCCAGUGGCGAAGGCGUCUAACCAGAGCGGACCUGGCGGCAAGGGACGAAAGCUAGGGGCACGAACC
Molecule: ribosomal RNA, 384 nt
Filed under: uncultured prokaryote
Description: bacterial SSU rRNA
Rfam family: Archaeal small subunit ribosomal RNA
Source: RNAcentral